UAUCCUGGCUCAGGACGAACGCUGGCGGCGCGCCUAACACAUGCAAGUCGAACGGGGUUAUACGGGAUGAAGUUUUCGGAUGGAAUUCUAUAUAACCUAGUGGCGGACGGGUGAGUAACACGUGAGCAACCUGCCUAUCAGAGGGGGAUAACGAUUGGAAACGAUCGCUAAUACCGCAUGACAUAGCGAAGAGGCAUCUUUUUGCUAUCAAAGAUUUAUCGCUGAUAGAUGGGCUCGCGUCCG
RNAcentral lists this ribosomal RNA (243 nucleotides) under uncultured bacterium. RNAcentral describes it as "partial 16S ribosomal RNA". It matches the Rfam family "Bacterial small subunit ribosomal RNA", at positions 15 to 239 of the family's 1533-position model. The record is from RNAcentral.